UGAACCCAAACCUCGCGUGGACGCUUUUGUUUACAUUGUAUGUGCUCAAACAUUUUCUCCCGUCCGAAAGCCAGGUAUCAGCGACAGUUAAUGACCCUGGAGACAAGAAGAUCCCGUCGAACCUGGACUGAUCGGCUGCUCAGAAAACACGAACCUACAGUGUGUGCUGCAGUGAAGGCGACAACAAAAGGCGUCAGUCACCCUAUCUCUGCCAAAACACAGGUGACGACAGGACAGAUUGGGAAGCCGUGAUGGCGGCACAGAAGUUGAGGGAGAAGCUAUUUAUCCCAGACGGAUCAGGAGGUGUGUGACGGAGGUGUGGACGGUUGCUGCAGGUCAGUGACGUUGGCAGGCGCCAGGCAGGCCGGCCCACAUGGCUCGGGGACUGUGGGACUACAGACAGAUGGCACCUGGUGGGUGACAAACAAUUAACAAACCAACAAGAAUAGCUGGAUCGGCAGUAUACCCACAAGCACAGGAGAUAGCAAGAGAGCGGGUGCAUCUGUGCUCAGAACAUUUUCACUCUUUACUUUUCCUCUUCCCCGAGUCUUGUUUUGUAUAACAGUUGCAAUUUACCCAUGUGUCUUUUUCACAAAAACACUCUUGUUGUCGUGUCGCUAUAGAACAGUCUAAAUAAAGCGGUGUUGAACAUAUGCGGCCAGCAUAUGUUUCUGUUUAUUUCAGUACAGUUUUGAGAGAAGCAGUGGGUAAUUUAAAUGUAUAAUACAA
Molecule: long non-coding RNA, 729 nt
Organism: Epinephelus lanceolatus (giant grouper)
Lineage: Eukaryota; Metazoa; Chordata; Actinopteri; Perciformes; Serranidae
Source: RefSeq, a predicted model, not a curated record